GACCGCGUGGCCUAAUGGAUAAGGCGUCUAACUUCGAAUUAGAAGACUGAGGGUUUGAGUCCCUUCGUGGUUG
This is a non-coding RNA of Takifugu rubripes (torafugu), 73 nucleotides long. The record is from Rfam. NCBI's taxonomy places the organism in Eukaryota, Metazoa, Chordata, Actinopteri, Tetraodontiformes, Tetraodontidae.